UCUCCUCCUCCGCCGAGAUUCUUUCUCUUCCGGUUGUCGUCUGUUCGUGUGGCAGAUUAACCAGCGUCGAAAUGGCAAAGUCCAAGAAUCACACAACCCACAACCAGUCUCGUAAAUACCACAGGAAUGGCAUC
This is a non-coding RNA of Plectropomus leopardus (leopard coralgrouper), 134 nucleotides long. The record is from RefSeq and is a predicted model, not a curated record. Lineage: Eukaryota; Metazoa; Chordata; Actinopteri; Perciformes; Serranidae.